This 823-nucleotide small RNA is filed under the name Arabidopsis thaliana (thale cress). Its description in RNAcentral is "ATSL164420". Lineage: Eukaryota; Viridiplantae; Streptophyta; Magnoliopsida; Brassicales; Brassicaceae. The record is from RNAcentral.
UUUAUGAUCCAUUUGCCGUGGGUCCCACCAGCUAUGUAGGAAUACCCUAUCUUCUUAAUAAGAGCCUUGAUAAAUGCAAAAUAUUGGAAAACAAUGUCCGAACAUAUAAUGCCCCCCCCCCCGUAAUAUAGCAAAGAUCACGAAAAUGCCCAAAAAAGUACAUUUAGGUCAAAAUUUGAGUAGAAAAAAAAACAAUAGAAGAAUUCCAUUUUCCUUCCUCAUUUAUCGGAGAGCUCUCUUUGGGCUUUCCGAAAAGGUAUCACAUGACAAGUUUGGCCUCACGGUCUAAAAGAUAUAGAGUCAUACAUUAUUAACAAAACAAAAUAGAGAAAAACCGAAAAAAAAGAGGGAUGCAACGCGAGGACUUUCCGGGAGGUAAUCUAUCCUAGUACUACUCUCGCCCAAGCACCCUUACCUGCGGAGUUCUGAUGGGAUCCGGUGCAGUAGUGCUGGUAUGAUCGCAUGUGUUACUACAUGCAAUGCAAUCAUAUAUAUUCUUUUUUGAAGACUUUAUGAUCCAUUUGCCGUAGGUCCCACCAGCUAUGUAGGAAUACCCUAUCUUGUUUAUAAGAGCUUUGAUACAUGCAAAAUAUUCGAAAACAAUGUCCGAACAUAUAAUUUUUGUCCCGUAAUAUAGCAAAGAUCACGAAAAGGCCAGAAAAAAUACAUUUCGGUCAAAAUUUGGAGUAGAAAAAAACCCCUUCCUCAUUCAUUGGACAGCUCUCUUUGGGCUUUCCGAAAAGGUAUCACAUGCCAAGUUUGGUCUCACGGUUUAAAAGUUAUAGAGUCAUACAUUUUUCACAAAAAAAAGAAGAGAAAAAAC